GGGUGCGAUCAUACCAGCACUAAUGCAUCGUAUCUCAUCAGAAGUUCGCAGUUGAGCGUGCUUGGGUGAGAGUAGUACUAGGAUGGGUGACCUCCUGGGAAGUCCUCGUGUUGCACCCC
RNAcentral lists this ribosomal RNA (119 nucleotides) under Gossypium arboreum. Lineage: Eukaryota; Viridiplantae; Streptophyta; Magnoliopsida; Malvales; Malvaceae. The record is from RNAcentral.